Molecule: non-coding RNA, 45 nt
Filed under: Schistosoma mattheei
Lineage: Eukaryota; Metazoa; Platyhelminthes; Trematoda; Strigeidida; Schistosomatidae
Source: RNAcentral
AACUUGCUGACGAAUAGCAAAUAACACGAAACCCGGGUCCAGGGU